This 8556-nucleotide long non-coding RNA is filed under the name Triticum aestivum (bread wheat). RNAcentral's name for it is "long non-coding RNA (TAES_LNC019907)". Lineage: Eukaryota; Viridiplantae; Streptophyta; Magnoliopsida; Poales; Poaceae. The record is from RNAcentral.
UGGAAGGCUCUAGGGGAAUAAAGAUGGAAUGACUUCUAAUUUUUAGGUCCGUAUGAUUUGAAAUACUUUCACACAAACCGCGCGAAAGCGUUCCUGGAAAUCUCAGCCCCAAAAAGGACGUUUAGUAAUUCUAGAAGGGACUAUAGGAUGAAAAACAAUAGUUUUGGUAGUUAAAGUUUGAGAUUCGAUGGUGCCGUGGAUCCGUUUGGUCAUCAGGUGUUACGAGCCACACCCAUGUCUAGCUAGAAUAGUAUGUUAGGCUCAGGUUAGAGAAGAAACGGGGAACAAACUGAUGAAAAAAUGAUCAUACCAAGGGAAUUCACUCAGAACUAACAAGAAUGAUAACGUGCUCCGACUGGAGCGGUUUAGGAACUGCUGGAAGGCUCUAGGGGAAUAAAGAUGGAAUGACUUCUAAUUUUUACGUCCGUAUGAUUUGAAAUACUUGCACACAAACCACGCAAAAGCGUUCCUGGAAAUCUCAGCCUAAAAAAGGACGUUUAGUAAUUCUAAAAGGGACUACAGGAUGAAAAAUAAUAGUUUGGGCAGUUAAAAUUUGAGAUUCAACGGUGCCGUAGAUCCGUUUGGUCAUGAGGUGUUACGAGCCACACCCAUGUCUAGCUAGAAUAGUGUGUUAGGCUCAGGCUAGAGAAGAAACGGGGAACAAAUUGAUGAAAGAAUGAUCAUACCGAGGGAAUUCACUCAGAACUAACAAGAAUGAUAACGUGCUCCGACUGGAGCAGUUUGGAAACUGUUGGUAGGCUCUAGGGGAAUAAAGAUGGAAUCACUUCAAAUUUUUAGGUCCGUAUGAUUUGAAAUACUGGCACACAAACCGCGCGAAAGUGUUCCUGGAAAUCUCAGCCCAAAAAAGGACGUUUAGUAAUUCUAAAAGGGACUACAGGAUGAAAAACAAUACUUUUGGCAGUUAAAGUUUGAGAUUCGACGGUGCCGUAGAUCUGUUUGGUCAUCAGGUGUAACGAGCCACACCCAUGUCUAGCUAGAGUAGUGUGCUAGGCUCAGACUAGAGAAGAAACGGGGAACAAAGUGAUGAAAGAAUGAUCAUACCGAGGGAAUUCACUCAGAACUAACAAGAAUGAUAACGUGCUCCGACUGGAGCGGUUUAGGAACUGCUGGAAGGCUCUAGGGAAAUAAAGAUGGAAUGACUUCUAAUUUUUAGGUCCAUAUCAUUUGAAAUACGUGCACACAAACCCCGAGAAAGCGUUCCUGGAAAUCUCGGCCGAAAAAAGGAUGUUUAAUAAUUCUAAAAGGGACUACAGGAUGAAAAACAAUAGUUUUGGCAGUUAAAGUUUGAGAUUUGACGGUGCCGUAGAUCUGUUUGGUCAUCAGGGGUUACGAGCCACACCCAUGUCUAGCUAGAAUAGUGUGUUAGGCUCAGGCUAGAGAAGAAACGGGGAACAAAUUGAUGAAAGAAUGAUCAUACCGAGGGAAUUCACUCAGAACUAACAAGAAUGAUAACGUGCUCCGACUGGAGCAGUUUGGAAACUGUUGGUAGGCUCUAGGGGAAUAAAGAUGGAAUCACUUCUAAUUUUUAGGUCCGUAUGAUUUGAAAUACAUGCACACAAACCCCAAGAAAGCGUUCCUGGAAAUCUCGCCCCGAAAAACGACGUUUAGUAAUUCUAAAAGGGACUACAGGAUGAAAAACAAUACUUUUGGCAGUUAAAGUUUGAGAUUCGACGGUGCCGUAGAUCUGUUUGGUCAUCAGGUGUAACGAGCCACACCCAUGUCUAGCUAGAGUAGUGUGCUAGGCUCAGACUAGAGAAGAAACGGGGAACAAAGUGAUGAAAGAAUGAUCAUACCGAGGGAAUUCACUCAGAACUAACAAGAAUGAUAACAUGCUCCGACUGGAGCGGUUUAGGAAGUGCUGGAAGGCUCUAGGGAAAUAAAGAUGGAAUGACUUCUAAUUUUUAGGUCCAUAUCAUUUGAAAUACGUGCACACAAACCCCGAGAAAGCGUUCCUGGAAAUCUCGGCCGAAAAAAGGAUGUUUAAUAAUUCUAAAAGGGACUACAGGAUGAAAAACAAUAGUUUUGGCAGUUAAAGUUUGUGAUUCGAUGGUGCCGUAGAUCUGUUUGGUCAUCAGGUGUUACGAGCCACACCCAUGUCUAGCUAGAACAGUGUGUUAGGCUCAGGCUAGAGCAGAAACGGGGAACAAACUUAUGAAAGAAUGAUCAUACCGAGGGAAUUCACUCAGAACUAACAAGAAUGAUAACGUGCUCCAACUGGAGCGGUUUAGGAACUGCUGGAAGGCUCUAGGGGAAUAAAGAUGGAAUGACUUCAAAUUUUUAGGUCCGUAUGAUUUGAAAUACUUGCACACAAACCGCUAGAAAGCGUUCCUGGAAAUCUCAGCCCAAAAAAGGACGUUUAGUAAUUCUAAAAGGGACUACAGGAUGAAAAACAAUAGUUCUGGCAGUUAAAGUUUGAGCUUCGAUAAUGUCGUAGAUCCGUUUGGUCAUCAGGUGUAACGAGCCACACCCAUUUCUAGCUAGAGUAGUGUGCUAGGCUCAGACUAGAGAAGAAAUGGGCAACAAACUAAUGAAAGAAUGAUCAUACCGAGGGAAUUCACUCAGAACUAACAAGAAUGAUAACGUGCUCCGACUGGAGCGGUUUAGGAACUGCUGGAAGGCUCUAGGGGAAUAAAGAAGGAAUGACUUCUAAUUUUUAGGUCCGUAUGAUUUGAAAUGUGUGCACACAAACCCCGAGAAAGCAUUCCUGGAAAUCUCGGCCCAAAAAAGGACGUUUAGUAAUUCUAAAAGGGACUACAGGAUGAAAAACAAUAGUUUUGGCAGUUAAAGUUUGAGAUUCGAUAAUGCCGUAGAUCCGUUUGGUCAUCAGGUGUAACGAGCCACACCCAUGUCUGGUUAGAGUAGUGUGCUAGGCUCAGACUAGAUAAGAAACGGGGAACAAACUGAUGAAAGAAUGAUCAUACCGAGCGAAUUCACUCAGAACUAACAAGAAUGAUAACAUGCUCCGACUGGAGCGGUUUAGGAACUGCUGGAAGGCUCUAGGGGAAUAAAGAUGGAAUGACUUCUAAUUUUUAGGUCCGUAUGAUUUGAAAUACUUGCACACAAACCACGCGAAAGCGUUCCUGGAAAUCUCAGCCCAAAAAAGGACGUUUAGUAAUUCUAAAAGGGACUACAGGAUGAAAAACAAUAGUUUUGGCAGUUAAAGUUUGAGAUUCGACAGUGCCGUAGAUCCGUUUGGUCAUCAGGUAUUACGAGCCACACCCAUGUCUAGCUAGAAUAGUGUGCUAGGCUCAGGCUAGAGAAGAAACGGGGAACAAACUGAUGAAAGAAUGAUCAAACCGAGGGAAUUCACUCAGAACUAACAAUAAUGAUAACGUGCUCCGACUGGUGCGGUUUAGGAACUGCUGGAAGGCUCUAGGGGAAUAAAGAUGGAAUGACUUCUAAUUUUUAGGUCCGUAUGAUUUGAAAUACUUGCACACAAACCGCGCGAAAGCGUUCCUGGAAAUCUCAGCCCAAAAAAGGACGUUUAGUAAUUUUAAAAGGGACUAUAGGAUGAAAAACAAUAGUUUUGGCAAUUAAAGUUUGAGAUUCGACGGUGUCGUAGAUCCGUUUGGUCAUCAGGUGUUACGAGCCACACCCAUGUCUAGCUAGAAUAGUAUGUCAGGCUCAGGUUAGAGUAGAAACGGGGAACAAACUGAUGAAAGAAUGAUCAUACCAAGGGAAUUCACUCAGAACUAUCAAGAAUGAUAACGUGCUCCGACUGGAGUGAUUUAGGAACUGCUGGAAGGCUCUAGGGGAAUAAAGAUGGAAUGACUUCUAAUUUUUACGUCCGUAUGAUUUGAAAUACUUGCACACAAAUCACGCAAAAGCGUUCCUGGAAAUCUCAGCCUAAAAAAGGACGUUUAGUAAUUCUAAAAGGGACUACAGGAUGAAAAACAAUAGUUUGGGCAGUUAAAAUUUGAGAUUCGACGGUGCCGUAGAUCCGUUUGGUCAUCAGGUGUUACGAGCGACACCCUUGUCUAGCUAGAAUAGUGUGUUAGGCUCAGACUAGAGAAGAAACGGGGAACAAAGUGAUGAAAGAAUGAUCAUACCGAGGGAAUUCACUCAGAACUAACAAGAAUGAUAACGUGCUCCGACUGGAGCGGUUUAGUAACUGCUGGAAGGCUCUAGGGGAAUGAAGAUGGAAUGACUUCUAAUUUUUAGGUCCGUAUGAUUUGAAAUACAUGCACACAAACCCUGAGAAAGCGUUCCUGGAAAUCUCGGUCGAAAAAAGGAUGUUUAAUAAUUCUAAAAGGGACUACCGGAUGAAAAACAAUAGUUUUGGCAGUUAAAGUUUGUGAUUCGAUGGUGCCGUAGAUCUGUUUGGUCAUCAGGUGUUACGAGCCACACCCAUGUCUAUCUAGAAUAGUGUGUUAGGCUCAGGCUAGAGCAGAAACGGGGAACAGACUUAUGAAAGAAUGAUCAUACCGAGGGAAUUCACUCAGAACUAACAAGAAUGAUAACGUGCUCCGACUGGCGCGGUUUAGGAACUGCUGGAAGGCUCUAGGGGAAUAAAGAUGGAAAGACUUCUAAUUUUUAGGUCCGUAUGAUUUGAAAUACUUGCACACAAACCGCACGAAAGCGUUCCUGGAAAUCUCAGCCUAAAAAGGAUGUUUAGUAAUUCUAAAAGGGACUACAAGAUGAAAAAUAAUAGUUUGGGCAGUUAAAAUUUGAGAUUCGACGAUGCCGUAGAUCCGUUUGGUCAUCAGGUGUUAUGAGCCACACCCAUGUCUAGCUAGAAUAGUGUGUUAGGCUCAGGCUAGAGAAGAAACGGGGAACAAACUGAUGAAAGAAUGAUCAUACCGAGGGAAUUCACUCAGAACUAACAAGAAUGAUAACGUGCUCCGACUGGAGCAGUUUAGAAACUGCUGGAAGGCUCUAAUGGAAUAAAGAUGGAAUGCCUUCAAAUUUCUAGGUCCGUAUGAUUUGAAAUACUUGCACACAAACCGCUCGAAAGCGUUCCUGGAAAUCUCAGCCCAAAAAAGGACGUUUAGUAAUUCUAAAAGGGACUACAGGAUGAAAAACAAUAGUUUUGGCAGUUAAAGUUUGAGAUUCGAUGGUGCCGUAGAUCCGUUUGGUCAUCAGGUGUAACGAGCCACACACAUGUCUAGCUAGAGUAGUGUGCUAGGCUCAGACUAGAGAAGAAACGGGGAACAAAGUGAUGAAAGAAUGAUCAUACCGAGGGAAUUCACUCAGAACUUACAAGAAUGAUAACGUGCUCCGACUGGAGCGCUUUAGUAACUGCUGGAAGGCUCUAGGCGAAUAAAGAUGGAAUGACUUCUAAUUUUUAGGUCCGUAUGAUUUGAAAUACUUGCACACAAACCACGCAAAACCGUUCCUAGAAAUCUCGGUCGAAAAAAGGACGUUUAGUAAUUCUAAAAGGGACUACAGGAUGAAAAACAAUAGUUUUGGCAGUUAAAGUUUGAGAUUCGAUGGUGCCGUAGAUCCGUUUGGUCAUCAGGUGUUACGAGCCACACCCAUGUCUAGCUAGAGUAGUGUGCUAGGUUCAGACUAGAGAAGAAACGGGGAACAAAGUGAUUAAAGAAUGAUCAUACCGAGGGAAUUCACUCAGAACUAACAAGAAUGAUAACGUGCUCCGACUGGAGCGGUUUAGGAACUGCUGGAAGGCUCUAGGGGAAUAAAGAUGGAAUGACUUCUAAUUUUUACGUCCGUAUGAUUUGAAAUACAUGCACACAAACCACGCAAAAGCGUUCCUGGAAAUCUCAGCCUAAAAAAGGACGUUUAGUAAUUCUAAAAGGGACUACAGGAUGAAAAAUAAUAGUUUGGGCAGUUAAAAUUUGAGAUUCGACGCUGCCGUAGAUCCGUUUGGUCAUCAGGUCUUACGAGCCACACCCAUGUCUAGCUAGAAUAGUGUGUUAGGCUCAGGCUAGAGAAGAAACGGGGAACAAACUGAUGAAAGAAUGAUCAUACCGAGGGAAUUCACUCAGAACUAACAAGAAUGAUAACGUGCUCCGACUGGAGCAGUUUAGAAACUCCUGGAAGGCUCUAGGGGAAUAAAGAUGGAAUGACUUCAAAGUUUUAGGUCCGUAUGAUUUGAAAUACUUGCACACAAACCGCGUGAAAGCGUUCCUGGAAAUCUCAACCCAAAAAAGGGCGUUUAGUAAUUCUAAAAGGGACUACAGGAUGUAAAACAAUAGUUUUGGCAGUUAAAGUUUGAGAUUCGAUGGUGCCGUAGAUCCGUUUGGUCAUCAGGUGUAACGAGCCACACCCAUGUCUAGCUAGAGUAGUGUGCUAGGCUCAGACUAGAGAAGAAACGGGGAACAAAGUGAUGAAAGAAUGAUCAUACCGAGGGAAUUCACUCAUAACUAACAAGAAUGAUAACGUGCUCUGACUUGAGCGGUUUAGGAACUGCUGGAAGGCUAUAGGGGAAUAAAGAUGGAAUGACUUCAAAUUUUUAGGUCCGUAUGAUCUGAAAUACUUGCACACAAACCGCGAGAAAGCGUUCCUGGAAAUCUCAACCCAAAAAAGGACGUUUAGUAAUUCUAAAAGGGACUACAGGAUGAAAAACAAUAGUUCUGGCAGUUAUUGUUUGAGAUUCGAUAAUCUCGUAGAUCCGUUUGGUCAUCAGGUGUAACGAGCCACACCCAUGUCUAGCUAGAGUAGUGUGCUAGGCUCAGACUAGAGAAGAAACGGGGAACAAACUGAUGAAAGAAUGAUCAUACCGAGGGAAUUCACUUAGAACUAACAAGAAUGAUAACGUGCUCCGACUGGAGCGGUUUAGGAACUGCUGGAAGGCUCUAGGGGAAUAAAGAAGGAACGACUUCUAAUUUUUAGGUCCGUAUGAUUUGAAAUAUGUGCACACAAACCACGAGAAAGCGUUCCUAGAAAUCUCGGCCCAAAAGAGGACGUUUAGUAUUCUAAAAGGGACUACAGAAUGAAAAACAAUAGUUUUGGCAGUUAAAGUUUGAGAUUUGACGGUGCCGUAGAUCUGUUUGGUCAUCAGGGGUUACGAGCCACACCCAUGUCUAGCUAGAAUAGUGUGUUAGGCUCAGGCUAGAAAAGAAACGGGGAACAAAGUGAUGAAAGAAUGAUCAUACCGAGGGAAUUCACUCAGAACUAACAAGAAUGAUAACAUGCUCCGACUGGAGCGGUUUAGGAACUGCUGGAAGGCUCUAGGGGAAUAAAGAUGGAAUGACUUCUAAUUUUUAGGUCCGUAUGAUUUGAAAUACUUGCACACAAACCGCGCGAAAGCGUUCCUGGAAAUCUCAGCCCAAAAAAGGACGUUUAGUAAUUCUAAAAGGGACUACAGGAUGAAAAACAAUAGUUUUGGCAGUUAAAGUAUGAGAUUCAACGGUGCCGUAGAUCCGUUUGGUCAUUAGGUGUUACGAGCCACACCCAUGUCUAGCUAGAAUAGUGUGCUAGGCUCAGGCUAGAGAAGAAACGGGGAACAAACUGAUGAAAGAAUGAUCAAACCGAGGGAAUUCACUCAGAACUAACAAUAAUGAUAACGUGCUCCGACUGGAGCGGUUUAGGAACUGCUGGAAGUCUCUAGGGGAAUAAAGAUGGAAUGACUUCUAAUUUUUACGUUCGUAUGAUUUGAAAAACUUGCCCAUAAACCGCGCGAAAGUGUUCCUGGAAAUCUCAGCCCAAAAAAGGACGUUUAGUAAUUUUAAAAGGGACUACACGAUGAAAAACAAUAGUUUUGGCAGGUAAAGUUUGAGAUUCGACAGUGCCGUAGAUCCGUUUGGUCAUCAGGUGUUACGAGCCACACCCAUGUCUAGCUAGAAUAGUAUGUUACGCUCAGGUUAGAGAAGAAACGGGGAACAAACUGAUGAAAGAUGAUCAUACCAAGGGAAUUCACUCAGAACUAACAAGAAUGAUAACGUGCUCCGACUGGAGCGGUUUAGGAACUGCUGGAAGGCUCUAGGGGAAUAAAGAUGGAAUGACUUCUAAUUUUUACGUCUGUAUGAUUUGAAAUACUUGCACACAAACAACGCAAAAGCAUUCCUGGAAAUCUCAUCCUAAAAAAGGACGUUUAGUAAUUCUAAAAGGGACUACAGGAUGAAAAAUAAUAGUUUGGGAAGUUAAAAUUUGAGAUUCGAUAGUGCCGUAGAUCCGUUUGGUCAUCAGGUGUUAGGAGCCACACCCAUGUCUAGCUAGAAUAGUGUGUUAGGCUCAGGCUAGAGAAGAAACAGGGAACAAACUGAUGAAAGAAUGAUCAUACCGAGGGAAUUCACUCAGAACUAGCAAGAAUGAUAACGUGCUCCGACUGGAGCAGUUUUGAAACUGCUGGAAGGCUCUAGGGGAAUAAUGAUGGAAUGACUUCUAAGUUUUUGGUCCGUAUGAUUUGAAAUACGUGCACACAAACCCAGAGAAAGUGUUCUUGGAAAUCUCGGCCGAAAAAAGGAUGUUUAAUAAUUCUAAAAGGGACUACAGGAUGAAAAACAAUAGUUUUGGCAGUUAAAGUUUGUGAUUCGAUGGUGCUGUAGAUCUGUUUGGUCAUCAGGUGUUAUGAGCCACACCCAUGUCUAGCUAGAACAGUGUGUUAGGCUCAGGCUAGAGCAGAAACGGGGAACA